CGCGGGAAGGGUGUUGGUUCCCAGUCGAGUCUCAUAAACUCGAUUACGCGAGUUCAAUUCUCGCUCCCGCACCCA
This 75-nucleotide transfer RNA is filed under the name Caudoviricetes sp. RNAcentral describes it as "tRNA-Met". It matches the Rfam family "tRNA". From Rfam's summary of the family: Transfer RNA (tRNA) molecules are approximately 80 nucleotides in length. Their secondary structure includes four short double-helical elements and three loops (D, anti-codon, and T loops). The record is from RNAcentral. Lineage: Duplodnaviria; Heunggongvirae; Uroviricota; Caudoviricetes.